GCUGGGUGUGGCGGCGUGCACCUGUAGUCCCAGCUACUCGGGAGGCUGAGGUGGGAGGAUCAUUUGAACCCAGGAAGUCAAGGCUGCAGUGAGCCAUGAUUGAGCCAUUGCACCCCAGCCUGGGCAACAGAGAGAGACCCUGUCUCAA
Molecule: non-coding RNA, 148 nt
Filed under: Homo sapiens (human)
Lineage: Eukaryota; Metazoa; Chordata; Mammalia; Primates; Hominidae
Source: Rfam by way of RNAcentral